GACGAACGCUGGCGGCGUGCUUAACACAUGCAAGUCGAACGGAAAGGCCCUGCUUUUGUGGGGUGCUCGAGUGGCGAACGGGUGAGUAACACGUGAGUAACCUGCCCUUGACGUUGGGAUAACUUCAGGAAACUGGGGCUAAUACCGGAUAGGAGCUCCUGCUGCAUGGUGGGGGUUGGAAAGUUUCGGCGGUUGGGGAUGGACUCGCGGCUUAUCAGCUUGUUGGUGGGGUAGUGGCUUACCAAGGCUUUGACGGGUAGCCGGCCUGAGAGGGUGACCGGCCACAUUGGGACUGAGAUACGGCCCAGACUCCUACGGGAGGCAGCAGGGGGGAAUAUUGCACAAUGGGCCGAAGCCUGAUGCAGCAACGCCGCGUGCGGGAUGACGGCCUUCGGGUUGUAAACCGCUUUCGCCUGUGACGAAGCGUGAGUGACGGUAAUGGGUAAAGAAGCACCGGCUAACUACGUG
RNAcentral lists this ribosomal RNA (468 nucleotides) under uncultured bacterium. Its description in RNAcentral is "partial 16S ribosomal RNA". It matches the Rfam family "Bacterial small subunit ribosomal RNA", at positions 28 to 507 of the family's 1533-position model. The record is from RNAcentral.